This 1539-nucleotide ribosomal RNA is filed under the name Pseudomonas aeruginosa. RNAcentral describes it as "bacterial SSU rRNA". It matches the Rfam family "Bacterial small subunit ribosomal RNA". The record is from RNAcentral. Lineage: Bacteria; Pseudomonadati; Pseudomonadota; Gammaproteobacteria; Pseudomonadales; Pseudomonadaceae.
ACACAUUGGCAACGUCAGAGCGGAUGAAGGGAGCUUGCUCCUGGAUUCAGCGGCGGACGGGUGAGUAAUGCCUAGGAAUCUGCCUGGUAGUGGGGGAUAACGUCCGGAAACGGGCGCUAAUACCGCAUACGUCCUGAGGGAGAAAGUGGGGGAUCUUCGGACCUCACGCUAUCAGAUGAGCCUAGGUCGGAUUAGCUAGUUGGUGGGGUAAAGGCCUACCAAGGCGACGAUCCGUAACUGGUCUGAGAGGAUGAUCAGUCACACUGGAACUGAGACACGGUCCAGACUCCUACGGGAGGCAGCAGUGGGGAAUAUUGGACAAUGGGCGAAAGCCUGAUCCAGCCAUGCCGCGUGUGUGAAGAAGGUCUUCGGAUUGUAAAGCACUUUAAGUUGGGAGGAAGGGCAGUAAGUUAAUACCUUGCUGUUUUGACGUUACCAACAGAAUAAGCACCGGCUAACUUCGUGCCAGCAGCCGCGGUAAUACGAAGGGUGCAAGCGUUAAUCGGAAUUACUGGGCGUAAAGCGCGCGUAGGUGGUUCAGCAAGUUGGAUGUGAAAUCCCCGGGCUCAACCUGGGAACUGCAUCCAAAACUACUGAGCUAGAGUACGGUAGAGGGUGGGUGGAAUUUCCUGUGUAGCGGUGAAAUGCGUAGAUAUAGGAAGGAACACCAGUGGCGAAGGCGACCACCUGGACUGAUACUGACACUGAGGUGCGAAAGCGUGGGGAGCAAACAGGAUUAGAUACCCUGGUAGUCCACGCCGUAAACGAUGUCGACUAGCCGUUGGGAUCCUUGAGAUCUUAGUGGCGCAGCUAACGCGAUAAGUCGACCGCCUGGGGGAGUACGGCCGCAAGGUUAAAACUCAAAUGAAUUGACGGGGGCCCCCACAAGCGGUGGAACAUGGGGGUUUAAUUCGAAGCAACGCCGAGAACCUUACCUGGCCUUGACAUGCUGAGAACUUUCCAGAAAAUGGAUUGGUGCCUUCGGGAACUCAGACACAGGUGCUGCAUGGCUGUCGUCAGCUCGUGUCGUGGAAAUGUUUGGGGUUAAGUCCCCGUAACGAGCGCAACCCUUUGUCCUUAGUUACCAGCCACCUCCGGGUGGGCACCCUUAAGGAGACUGCCGGUGACAACCCGAAGAAAGGGGGGGGGAUUAACUUCAAAUCUUCAUGGGCGCUUACCGGCCAGGGGUACACCCUGGGUACAAUGGGUCGGGUACAAAAAGUUUGCUAAACCCCCCCGAGUGGAGCUAAUCCCCUUAAAACCAAUCUAAUUUCCCCGAACCAAAUUUGGCACUCCACCCUCUGGGAAUCGGAAACCCCUUUAAUCUGGGAUCAAAAUUGCCCCGUGAAAAAUUUUCCCGGCCUUUGUCACCCCGCCCCACACCCACGGGGAGAGGGUGUGUCCAAAUAUACUUUUUACCCCCAAGGGGAGUGCCCAAAGGUUUUUACUGGAGAUCAGGGGGGGGGGGGAAAAGCCUGCGCCCCGCCCCCAUCAGACGGUUAAACUCAAACCCCCCUUGUGGCCCCCCCCGGGGGGGGG